RNAcentral lists this ribosomal RNA (253 nucleotides) under uncultured bacterium. RNAcentral describes it as "partial 16S ribosomal RNA". It matches the Rfam family "Bacterial small subunit ribosomal RNA", at positions 524 to 776 of the family's 1533-position model. The record is from RNAcentral.
UACGAAGGGGGCUAGCGUUGCUCGGAAUCACUGGGCGUAAAGCGCACGUAGGCGGUUUGCUAAGUCAGGGGUGAAAUCCUGGAGCUCAACUCCAGAACUGCCCUUGAUACUGGCGGUCUCGAGUCCGGGAGAGGUGAGUGGAACUGCGAGUGUAGAGGUGAAAUUCGUAGAUAUUCGCAAGAACACCAGUGGCGAAGGCGGCUCACUGGCCCGGUACUGACGCUGAGGUGCGAAAGCGUGGGGAGCAAACAGG